AUUGAACGCUGGCGGCAGGCCUAACACAUGCAAGUCGAGCGGAUGAAGGGAGCUUGCUCCUGGAUUCAGCGGCGGACGGGUGAGUAAUGCCUAGGAAUCUGCCUGGUAGUGGGGGAUAACGUCCGGAAACGGGCGCUAAUACCGCAUACGUCCUGAGGGAGAAAGUGGGGGAUCUUCGGACCUCACGCUAUCAGAUGAGCCUAGGUCGGAUUAGCUAGUUGGUGGGGUAAAGGCCUACCAAGGCGACGAUCCGUAACUGGUCUGAGAGGAUGAUCAGUCACGCUGGAACUGGGACACGGUCCAGAAUCCUACGGGAGGCAGCAGUGGGGAAUAUUUGACAAUGGGCGAAAGCCUGAUCCAGCCAUGCCGCGUGUGUGAAGAAGGUCUUCGGAUUUUAAAGCACUUUAAGUUGGGAGGAAGGGCAGUAAGUUAAUACCUUGCUGUUUUGACGUUACCAACAGAAUAAGCACCGGCUAACUUCGUG
This 484-nucleotide ribosomal RNA is filed under the name uncultured bacterium. RNAcentral describes it as "partial 16S ribosomal RNA". It matches the Rfam family "Bacterial small subunit ribosomal RNA", at positions 30 to 507 of the family's 1533-position model. The record is from RNAcentral.